Molecule: ribosomal RNA, 481 nt
Filed under: uncultured bacterium
Lineage: Bacteria
Description: partial 16S ribosomal RNA
Rfam family: Bacterial small subunit ribosomal RNA
Source: RNAcentral
GACGAACGCUGGCGGCGUGCUUAACACAUGCAAGUCGAGCGGAAAGGCCACUUCGGUGGUACUCGGGCGGCGAACGGGUGAGUAACACGUGAGUAAUCUGCCCCUGGCUUUGGGAUAGCCACCGGAAACGGUGAUUAAUACCGGAUACGACCACUUCUCGCAUGGGAUGGUGGUGGAAAGUUUUUUCGGCCAGGGAUGUGCUCGCGGACUAUCAGCUUGAUGGUGAGGUAAUGGCUCACCAUGGCUUCGACGGGUAGCCGGCCUGAGAGGGUGACCGGUCACACUGGGACUGAGACACGGCCCAGACUCCUACGGGAGGCAGCAGUGGGGAAUAUUGGACAAUGGGCGGAAGCCUGAUCCAGCAACGCCGCGCGAGGGAUGACGGCCUUCGGGUUGUAAACCUCUUUCAGCAGGGACGAAGCGCAAGUGACGGUACCUGCAGAAGAAGCACCGGCCAACUACGUGCCAGCCGCCGCGGUAA